Molecule: ribosomal RNA, 547 nt
Filed under: Trichoderma atroviride
Lineage: Eukaryota; Fungi; Ascomycota; Sordariomycetes; Hypocreales; Hypocreaceae
Also listed under: 1 other name
Description: eukaryotic LSU rRNA
Rfam family: 5.8S ribosomal RNA (bases 159-312)
Source: RNAcentral
GUGAACCAUACCAAACUGUUGCCUCGGCGGGGUCACGCCCCGGGUGCGUCGCAGCCCCGGAACCAGGCGCCCGCCGGAGGGACCAACCAAACUCUUUCUGUAGUCCCCUCGCGGACGUUAUUUCUUACAGCUCUGAGCAAAAAUUCAAAAUGAAUCAAAACUUUCAACAACGGAUCUCUUGGUUCUGGCAUCGAUGAAGAACGCAGCGAAAUGCGAUAAGUAAUGUGAAUUGCAGAAUUCAGUGAAUCAUCGAAUCUUUGAACGCACAUUGCGCCCGCCAGUAUUCUGGCGGGCAUGCCUGUCCGAGCGUCAUUUCAACCCUCGAACCCCUCCGGGGGGUCGGCGUUGGGGAUCGGGAACCCCUAAGACGGGAUCCCGGCCCCGAAAUACAGUGGCGGUCUCGCCGCAGCCUCUCCUGCGCAGUAGUUUGCACAACUCGCACCGGGAGCGCGGCGCGUCCACGUCCGUAAAACACCCAACUUCUGAAAUGUUGACCUCGGAUCAGGUAGGAAUACCCGCUGAACUUAAGCAUAUCAAUAAGCGGAGG